Pelobates cultripes (western spadefoot toad) is the source of this 986-nucleotide non-coding RNA. The record is from the annotation of a GenBank genome assembly. NCBI's taxonomy places the organism in Eukaryota, Metazoa, Chordata, Amphibia, Anura, Pelobatidae.
CUGUGAAUCUAUACAUUUCCUGGCUGCUGUAGAUUUAAUAUGUAUACUUAACGAUAGCUGAACUUUCAGUAUUUUGUGAAUAGCAGGUCAACUUAUAAAAGCCACUUUACUAGUUGUAAUCCUUGCAAACAGGCUUUCAUUUUGUUUUAUUGUCUUUUUGUGAUUCGAAUGCUUCAAUUUGAACUACAACGGUUACAGCUUUGGAGCAUGGCCCAAAUGAACGACAGCAAAGAGUCCUUAUUAAAAGGGCUCCCUUUAAUGGUACAAUUUUUCAUUUUAUAGAAACUUAAAUGUUAUGGUGAAGGGCUAAACCCACCACUAGUGGCAGUCUUCCUUCGCCUGGGAAUAAAAUGUUGUUGACAGCAGCAUUUGAUGGGAGGAGCGCAGUGUUUGGCCACACAUGAGUACCUCUAAUUCAUUGUUUUUCUAUGAGAAGCAAUGAAUUGGAGGAAAUCGUGAUGAGAUCAUUAGACAUGCUGAUGUCUUCGAAGGAGGAACGUACGGAUGUAGCAGUGGAAUCCCAGCACAGGAAACAAGGCAAGUAAAAUCUUUGAAACUUUAUUUUAUUUUUUGAUCAGCAAAGGGGGGUGGACUGAAAGAAAGUUAUAGUCCAGAAAUAAUGAUUGUUAUAUUCUGGACUAUAGGUUCCCUUUAAGAGUUCCGUUUAAGAAUCCUUUGUGUUUUAUAAAAAUAACAUGAUCAUGUGACUGCGUGUCUGUGGCAGACUCACCAUGUGACUUGUCGGUGUCAUUGAUAUAUCUGGAUCUUUGUAGAACUUGUUUACAGGGAGUGCAGAAUUAUUAGGCAAGUUGUAUUUUUGAGGAUUAAUUUUAUUAUUGAACAACAACCAUGUUCUCAAUGAACCCAAAAAACUCAUUAAUAUCAAAGCUGAAUAUUUUUGGAAGUAGUUUUUAGUUUGUUUUUAGUUAUAGCUAUGUUAGGGGGAUAUCUGUGUGUGCAGGUGACUAUUACUGUGCAUAAUUAUU